Molecule: long non-coding RNA, 811 nt
Filed under: Setaria viridis
Lineage: Eukaryota; Viridiplantae; Streptophyta; Magnoliopsida; Poales; Poaceae
Description: long non-coding RNA (SVIR_LNC007153)
Source: RNAcentral
AGCUGUCCAAGUAUAAUUAGCGUAAUAAUGCAUGAUUGUGACAAAGGACACUUGCCAUGGCUAUACACCUAUAUUCCCAUAGAGAGAUUCAUCGAAAAUCUAGGGUUGACGACGUGCUGUUCCUCGCCUUGUCGGAAGCAGCUAAAUUGAAACGUCCAUAUGGUUAUGACUGCAUUUUCUGAGCUUAGAAGUACAAUAAUGAUCAGGGUACGUAGAAUCGCGAUAUGAAUUAUCGCUUGGAAUAUUGUGUUUAAUUUCGAUUAUUUUUACAGGUAGAGUGCAUGGCACUGACCGAUUAUAUAGGAAAUGCAUUGUGGAUUGUGGAAUGCAUUUAUUAGUAGUGCAUAGGAAUUAAAGAUUAUGUUCGAGAGAUGGCUAGUUCCACUGGCGAAAUGCUCGGGACUGACUGGUUCAAAUGCUGGUCAAAACUUGAGUGACUGAUCAGGAAGUCUCGUGGGCUUUGAGUUCAUACACUGCGACCUUUUGCCCCUGUUAUGUUCACACGCUCAAGGGUAUCCCAAGAUUAUACAACCACACAUAUAUCAUCGAUCAUGUACACAUUUUGCUCGGUCCGUUAAGGAAAUAUGCUCCAAAUUAAACGAUGGAAUUUUUUGAAAAACAUGCACGGAUCUUUAUGUUUUGUAACGAUUUGUGGGCACUUCGUGAAUUCCUUGAAGUUACAAAAUCUAGCCUUGUAACACCGUCCGUCCCCUUCCACCAACAGAAGUGUGAACUGCCUAAAACGGCUGUGAGUCUUUUCCGGUUCGGCCACUUUCGUUUUCACAGCCAUAUAGUAUAUCCUCUAUCUCCC